GUGCUUGCUUGGGCAGCACAUACACUAAAAUUGGAAUGAUACAGAGAAGAUAAGCAUGGUCCCU
This 64-nucleotide small nuclear RNA is filed under the name Chlorocebus sabaeus (green monkey). The record is from RNAcentral. Lineage: Eukaryota; Metazoa; Chordata; Mammalia; Primates; Cercopithecidae.